Long non-coding RNA from Megalobrama amblycephala (Wuchang bream), 807 nucleotides. RefSeq lists it as uncharacterized. NCBI's taxonomy places the organism in Eukaryota, Metazoa, Chordata, Actinopteri, Cypriniformes, Xenocyprididae. The record is from RefSeq and is a predicted model, not a curated record. The transcript has 2 exons.
AAGAAGUUGUUUUUACUCUCAGUGAGUGAGACGACAUCAACCAGCGAAUUCACGUAAUAAUUAUUACAAAAUUGUGUUGUUUUUCAAUGCCCUAUUUGUAUAUUUGUACGUUUUUUUUUAUCUAUCUAUCGUUUAGACUUCAUUAUUUCUCAUUAUGGCACAUAGCAUGAACCCAAACACACGAGCCGCCAGACAAUCUGAGCUCAAAUAUCGUUCGCCCACACCAGACUGUUUAUUCUGGUCAUCAACAGCUGGAGAGAGAUCAUGUAGAGACUGUCACACCGCGGCUUCUGAUAGUUCAGUCUGAGCAGAUGGACAUCAUGAAGGAGAUUAGCAAAUGAGAUCCAGACCUUGUUGACGGCUGUGGCUGACUGGCUCCAUUCGCUAUUUUCCUGGGAUCUCCAGGACACAACGUCUGACAUGCCUUCAUGGAGGUUUAGCAGAACUGGGUUUGAUGAGACCCUCGGGAAUGGACCUGGACCAUCCAGAGCACAAAGUGUGUGGUGGUCUACUGGGACAGAGUGUGCCAGUGGAACAGGGAGGAUCCGGUUCACGCGGCCCACUCAGGUUUCCUCAUAUGGCGCUCUUGUUACAGUCCUGCCAAGGUGUGACUUUCAAGGUUCCUCACGUUACUUUUCCGAACGGAGUGCACUAAUGUGACGUUUCUUCCUCCGGAUAUCGUUCCAAGUUGUCACACAGUACAUCUGCUUUCUAGAGCAUGCUGGCUAUUGUUGUGGUUUUGUACAGGUUCACAUGCUGCUCUGACAUCAUGGAAAAGCUAAUAAACAAGAAGCAGAUUGAACUGGG